This 467-nucleotide ribosomal RNA is filed under the name uncultured bacterium. RNAcentral's name for it is "partial 16S ribosomal RNA". It matches the Rfam family "Bacterial small subunit ribosomal RNA", at positions 28 to 506 of the family's 1533-position model. The record is from RNAcentral.
GACGAACGCUGGCGGCGUGCUUAACACAUGCAAGUCGAACGGAAAGGCCCUGCUUUUGUGGGGUGCUCGAGUGGCGAACGGGUGAGUAACACGUGAGUAACCUGCCCUUGACUUUGGGAUAACUUCAGGAGACUGGGGCUAAUACCGGAUAGGAGCUCCUGCUGCAUGGUGGGGGUUGGAAAGUUUCGGCGGUUGGGGAUGGACUCGCGGCUUAUCAGCUUGUUGGUGGGGUAGUGGCUUACCAAGGCUUUGACGGGUAGCCGGCCUGAGAGGGUGACCGGCCACAUUGGGCCUGAGGUACGGCCCGGACUCCUACGGGAGGCAGCAGUGGGGAAUAUUGCACAAUGGGCGGAGGCCUGAUGCAGCAACGCCGCGUGCGGGAUGACGGCCUUCGGGUUGUAAACCGCUUUCGCCUGUGACGAAGCGUGAGUGACGGUAAUGGGUAAAGAAGCACCGGCUAACUACGU